This 74-nucleotide transfer RNA is filed under the name Nanobdellota archaeon. Its description in RNAcentral is "tRNA-Pro". It matches the Rfam family "tRNA". From Rfam's summary of the family: Transfer RNA (tRNA) molecules are approximately 80 nucleotides in length. Their secondary structure includes four short double-helical elements and three loops (D, anti-codon, and T loops). Further hydrogen bonds mediate the characteristic L-shaped molecular structure. tRNAs have two regions of fundamental functional importance: the anti-codon, which is responsible for specific mRNA codon recognition, and the 3' end, to which the tRNAs corresponding amino acid is attached (by aminoacyl-tRNA synthetases). tRNAs cope with the degeneracy of the genetic code in two manners: having more than one tRNA (with a specific anti-codon) for a particular amino acid; and 'wobble' base-pairing, i.e. permitting non-standard base-pairing at the 3rd anti-codon position. The record is from RNAcentral. Lineage: Archaea; Nanobdellati; Nanobdellota.
GGGACCGUGGUGCAGUUUGGUUAACAUUCGAGGCUGGGGGCCUCGCGACCUGGGUUCAAAUCCCAGCGGUCCCA